This 471-nucleotide ribosomal RNA is filed under the name uncultured bacterium. Its description in RNAcentral is "partial 16S ribosomal RNA". It matches the Rfam family "Bacterial small subunit ribosomal RNA", at positions 28 to 507 of the family's 1533-position model. The record is from RNAcentral.
GACGAACGCUGGCGGCGUGCUUAACACAUGCAAGUCGAACGAUGAAGCCUAGCUUGCUAGGUGGAUUAGUGGCGAACGGGUGAGUAAUACGUGAGUAACCUACCUUUAACUCUGGGAUAAGCCCGGGAAACUGGGUCUAAUACCGGAUACGACCAAUCUCCGCAUGGGGUGUUGGUGGAAAGCGUUAUGUAGUGGUUAUAGAUGGGCUCACGGCCUAUCAGCUUGUUGGUGAGGUAACGGCUCUCCAAGGCGACGACGGGUAGCCGGCCUGAGAGGGUGACCGGCCACACUGGGACUGAGACACGGCCCAGACUCCUACGGGAGGCAGCAGUGGGGAAUAUUGCACAAUGGGCGCAAGCCUGAUGCAGCGACGCCGCGUGAGGGAUGACGGCCUUCGGGUUGUAAACCUCUGUUAGCAGGGAAGAAGAGAGAUUGACGGUACCUGCAGAGAAAGCGCCGGCUAACUACGUG